CUACGGGUCGCUCCAGUGAGGAAUAUUGCACAAUGGGGGAACCCUGAUGCAGCAACGCCGCGUGGAGGAUGACGCAUUUCGGUGUGUAAACUCCUUUUAUAUGUCAAGAAAAUGACGGUAGCAUAUGAAUAAGCACCGGCUAACUCCGUGCCAGCAGCCGCGGUAAUACGGGAGGGUGCAAGCGUUACUCGGAAUCACUGGGCGUAAAGGACGCGUAGGCGGGGUGGAAAGUCAGGUGUGAAAUCCUACAGCUUAACUGUAGAACUGCACUUGAAACUUCUAAUCUAGAGUAUGGGAGGGGGAGAUGGAAUUAGUGGUGUAGGGGUAAAAUCCGUAGAUAUCACUAGGAAUACCUAAAGCGAAGGCGAUCUCCUGGAACAUUACUGACGCUAAGGCGUGAAAGCGUGGGGAGCAAACAGGAUUAGAUACCCCGGUAGUC
Molecule: ribosomal RNA, 439 nt
Filed under: uncultured bacterium
Lineage: Bacteria
Description: partial 16S ribosomal RNA
Rfam family: Bacterial small subunit ribosomal RNA
Source: RNAcentral